Molecule: unclassified non-coding RNA, 348 nt
Filed under: soil metagenome
Description: partial contains 5.8S ribosomal RNA, internal transcribed spacer 2, and large subunit ribosomal RNA
Rfam family: 5.8S ribosomal RNA (bases 1-120)
Source: RNAcentral
GAUGAAGAACGUAGCAAAAUGCGAUAAGUAAUGUGAAUUGCAGAAUUCAGUGAAUCAUCGAAUCUUUGAACGCACAUUGCGCCCGCUGGUAUUCCGGCGGGCAUGCCUGUUCGAGCGUCAUUUCAACCCUCAAGCCCCCGGGUUUGGUGUUGGGGAUCGGCUCUGCCCUUCUGGGCGGUGCCGCCCCCGAAAUACAUUGGCGGUCUCGCUGCAGCCUCCAUUGCGUAGUAGCUAACACCUCGCAACUGGAACGCGGCGCGGCCAUGCCGUAAAACCCCAACUUCUGAAAGUUGACCUCGGAUCAGGUAGGAAUACCCGCUGAACUUAAGCAUAUCAAUAAGCGGAGGA